AGAGUGGAGGCUGAUGUGAAUCCUUCGGGUCCUGCCUGGAGCUGCUGGAAGGGGGAGGGGGCGCAAGGGGGGGCAGGAGGAGGAGGAGGAAGAAGAGCAGCGCUGCUUCUGCCGCUUCCGUCAUCAUGGCUCACUCCCCUGUCCAGCAGCCUGGCCUGCCGGGGAUGCAGAAUUUGAAGGCAGAUCCAGAAGAACUCUUUACAAAACUGGAGAAGAUUGGCAAAGGUUCAUUUGGUGAAGUUUUUAAAGGCAUUGACAAUCGAACACAGAAAGUUGUUGCUAUAAAAAUUAUUGAUCUUGAAGAAGCUGAAGAUGAAAUAGAAGAUAUACAGCAAGAAAUAACAGUUCUCAGUCAGUGUGACAGUCCAUAUGUCACCAAAUAUUAUGGAUCUUAUUUAAAGGACACAAAAUUAUGGAUAAUAAUGGAAUACCUUGGUGGUGGAUCUGCCCUUGACCUUUUAGAACCAGGUUCACUUGAUGAAAUCCAGAUUGCUACAAUAUUAAGAGAGAUUCUGAAAGGACUCGAUUAUUUGCAUUCAGAAAAGAAAAUUCAUAGAGAUAUUAAAGCUGCUAAUGUGCUCCUCUCAGAACAAGGGGAAGUCAAGCUAGCAGACUUUGGUGUAGCCGGACAAUUAACUGAUACACAAAUAAAGAGAAAUACAUUUGUGGGCACACCAUUUUGGAUGGCGCCAGAAGUAAUAAAGCAAUCAGCUUAUGAUUCAAAGGCAGAUAUAUGGUCCCUGGGCAUAACAGCCAUAGAGCUUGCGAAAGGAGAACCACCACAUUCCGAACUACAUCCAAUGAAAGUUUUAUUUCUGAUCCCAAAGAACAACCCACCAACUUUAGAAGGAAACUACAGUAAACCUUUAAAGGAGUUCGUUGAGGCCUGCUUGAACAAAGACCCCAGUUUUAGACCAACAGCCAAAGAACUCCUGAAGCACAAAUUUAUAAUACGAAAUGCAAAGAAAACUUCUUACUUGACAGAUCUCAUUGACAGACAUAAAAGAUGGAAGGCUGAGCAGAAUCAUGAUAAUUCCAGCUCUGAAGAUUCAGAUGGUGAAACAGAUGAGCAGGCAUCAGGUGGCAGUGAUUCGGGUGACUGGAUAUUCACAAUCCGAGAAAAAGAUCCUAAGAAUCUAGAAAACGGAGCGACCCAAUUCCAUGAGUGGGAAAGAAACAAGGAAAAUACCAUUCAAAGGCGCCCUGCAUCUCGAUGCUUAUCUACAAUUAUAUCGCCAUUAUUCACAGAGUUGAAAGAGAGAAGUCAAGCUUGUGGGGGGAACAUGGGCUCCAUAGAAGAACUGAGAGAGGCUAUUUAUUUAGCUGAAGAAGCUUGCCCAGGAAUUUCAGAUACUAUGGUGUCUGAACUAGUACAGCGGAUUCAGAGGUAUUCAGUAUCUGGAGGGAGCAGUUCAUCCCAUUGAAGUCUGACUGUGUGACCACUUUUGGUACUCCACUGAGGCUCCUGCAGGCACCUGUUCUCAGAUGUGCAAGUGGAAAGAAGAGGCUGCUCAUCAUUCUGUGGCCUUCAAGUGGUUAUUUGUGAGUUAUAUGGAAAAUGACAUGGAGAGGAUGGUCAAAAUAUUCUAUGGCUCUGGUAAACUCUUGGAUGACUACCAUCAUCCACAAUGCACGAUCACUGGUGACUCUGUUCCUUAUCUCAGUUUCUCCAGCUGAUGCAAGCAAAGUUUCCACAGUACGUACAGGUACAUACAUCCUCACUUAUCAACUAUUCAUUCAGCAACCAUUCAAAGUUACAAAGGUGCUGAAAAAAUAAUUAUCUGACCAAUUGAUGACCAUUUAUUACUGUUGCAGUAUCCCUCACUUCAUGAACACUAUUACAGUCAAUAUGUAGUGUUCUGAAUCUGAUCUGUGUUUUUUUUUCUCCCACUUGGAGACGAGAGAGAUUGGAGAGGAAGGGAUUGCAAGAGAGUAAGCUGUUUGCUCUUCUACACAUCAAAAACAAUGCAACUGCACUGGCAGCCUGGAGUUAGGACCCACAAAUGCACUAUGCAAACAGCUUGCAAUAUUUUCAUGAAAUCUCUUUCUAUCCAAUCUCUUUGUUCUGCAAAGGAGGACAGAGCAGAGAGAUUGACGAGGAAGAGACUGAGAAUAAACUGUUAGCUCUUCUAUACAUGAAAAAUAGUGUGAUUAUGCUAGUAACAGGAAAGUGGUCAUGUAACUACCAUUUCUGAUGUUCCCUGCUGGCUUCCCAAAAGUCAAUGGGGAAGCUGGAAGGAAGUUGGAAGUCUCAGUCACAUGAUGUCCUUACUUAAUGACAAAUAGGACUGCAGAAACUGCCAUUGCUAAGUGGCACAAAUAGGCAAUGUUCAACUUUAUGACCAUGUUGCUUAGUGAUGGGGAUUCUGGACUAGCAUUAGCUUUUAUGGGCUUGCUUCAUGAAAUUUGGACAAUUAUGAAAAGCCCACCACACAUACAAUUUCCAUAAGAAAUCUUUGUCCAAGCGAAGUAGUUAACUACAGCAUUUCAUAUAUUUAUGGCACAGUAUCUUAAAGAGCAUAAGAUAGGAAGCACAUCAAAGCCAUGGCAAGGAGAAAUAGGGAGAGUGCCAUCUUCUUGAACCUCCUCCUUAGCUGACAUCAAAAGUAUAUUUGAAGGUAGCUCAAUAAGGAUUUUCUCAAGAAAAAGCCUCUAGUUCUGGUAAUUGCUCUGAUCCUCAAGAUAAUGAUGUUUUAGUAAUGAAACAAAUCAUUACAAUGCUGUUGGACAGUGCAAUAGAUUAAAGAGAGCUAAAAAGUCUAACAUUAUGAGAGGCCUCUGUAGAUUUACAAACACUCUUAUGUGUGAUGCACAGAGUCCACAAAGAACCCACUACACAGAACAAGAAGGCAAAAAGCAGAAAGAAUGAAGCUGCAUUGCCUAUUCUGUUCCUUCAUUAAUUUUCUGUGCUCCAUCUGCUCCCAAUCUGUUCAAUUCCUCUGUUUUCCACACACAGCCAUAUCUGUGCCAAUGUAAAUCUGGACAUCACAUUUCAACUGCUACUCUCUUACUAUAAACGUAACCUUUUCCAAUAGCAAAAUAUCACACUAAAAAUAACCUUCUCUUUUCGGGGCAGGCAAGAGUGGAGAGUAUGUACCUAUUGUUGUUGUUUUUUUUAAAAAAAGGACUAACUUGUCUACAAGUUAGUAGAGGUCUGGAUAGCAGAUUUUUUUGGCGGUGCAGACUUCUGCAGAUAAAAAUUGGAUUAGUUUUUAUCUGCAGAGUUAUUAACUACACACUUCCACUUAAACAGGCUAAUUCUGAAAUACUGAAGCAUUUAGAAUUCCCAGAAAUCCAUCAAACUGUAGAAUUCAGUGCCGAUUUUUCUCUCCAAGUUGUUUAUCCAUAAUUAAUUAUCCCUGAAGCUAAUCCAUUUUCUGUAAAGUGUUUCAUAUUAAUUAAUCUCAAAUAUCCUUGGGUGUACCCUUCCUCAGAGAAAUGCAAUGUAUGAACCAAAGCCACCAUUAACAGAAUAGCAACUUUCAAACAGCACUUAUGAAAGUGCACAAUUUUCAUUGCAGAAAUUUCUAAUACAGGCUGACCUUGGUUGGCUUGUCACCAUUCAAACCACCUGUUUCAACUGUUCAACCAUUCAUUCAGCUGAGAGCUAGUUUGGUCUAGUACAGUGUUUCCCAAACUUGAC
Crotalus tigris (Tiger rattlesnake) is the source of this 3643-nucleotide RNA transcript. It is a transcript of the gene named serine/threonine kinase 24, with no coding region annotated. The record is from RefSeq and is a predicted model, not a curated record. The transcript has 12 exons. NCBI's taxonomy places the organism in Eukaryota, Metazoa, Chordata, Lepidosauria, Squamata, Viperidae.